This 423-nucleotide ribosomal RNA is filed under the name bacterium MA2009. RNAcentral describes it as "bacterial SSU rRNA". It matches the Rfam family "Bacterial small subunit ribosomal RNA", at positions 28 to 443 of the family's 1533-position model. The record is from RNAcentral.
GAUGAACGCUGGCGGCGUGCCUAACACAUGCAAGUCGAACGAGCGAGAGAUGAAACCUAGUGAUUCUCGAGCGAGUGGCGGACGGGUGAGUAACGCGUGGGUAACCUGCCUUACAGAGGGGGAUAACAGUUUGAAAAGACUGCUAAUACCGCAUAAGCACACAGUACCGCAUGGUACAGGGUGAAAAGAUUUAUCACUGUAAGAUGGACCCGCGUCUGAUUAGCCAGUUGGCAGGGUAACGGCCUACCAAAGCGACGAUCAGUAGCCGACCUGAGAGGGUGAUCGGCCACAUUGGGACUGAGACACGGCCCAAACUCCUACGGGAGGCAGCAGUGGGGGAUAUUGCACAAUGGAGGAAACUCUGAUGCAGCGCACGCCGCGUGAGUGAAGAAGUAUUUCGGUAUGUAAAGCUCUCAUCACGCA